Microcebus murinus (gray mouse lemur) is the source of this 1249-nucleotide non-coding RNA. NCBI's taxonomy places the organism in Eukaryota, Metazoa, Chordata, Mammalia, Primates, Cheirogaleidae. The record is from RefSeq and is a predicted model, not a curated record.
GGAGGGGGGGUAUGUCGGGGCGUCAGGCCUGUGGGGCCCCAGACGAUCCCCCCAGAAUCGCUCUCACGCCCACUCGCACUGGCGUCGAGAACUUGGGGACCCAGCGGUUCCAGGUCGCUCUCGUAACACAUGUUUGUGAAUGCGAACUGUGCACCAACCCACCCCCAGGCAGAGGGACCAGGCGACAGGCCAGACAGCAGCCGGGGGCUUCACGGGGGACGGGGGGACGGGGCAGCCCCCCUGGGGAGCAGCAGCGUCUGGAGGGAGGUGUGGUCCACAUGACACUGAAGCAUGUGAUGACACGCGUAACACAUACGUGUGUAUAAAUAACAUACACAUAAAGUAACCCAAAGCUCGAAACAAUCCGACGUGCUAUAACGAGGAACCGGCCGCCACAGGGCAUCCAUCCCGCGGAAUGCCGCGCACUCAGCAACGAACACAGCGUCCGCGUGCCCGGCAACCCAGACCACCCGACACGCGUGUGCUGAGGGAGGGGCCAGACACACAGGCUGCGCGUUGUGCCAUGUGACUCUGGGGUGACACUCGGCCGGGCAGAGCUCAGUGGCUAUGGGGGGAGGGGCGGCGCCGACCACAAAAGCGCCACAGACUGCACGUUUAGGCUGACGGAAUGUUCCAGAAGGAGCGUGGGGGCUGGACGCACAACGCCACGUGCCUGUCGGAACCCCCAGAGCUGCGACCUGCAGAGGGAAUUCCGCUAUACUGAGAAACGUUCACCCGGCUGCCGGGGCCCCGGGACGCGGCGCAGACCGUGACAGACGGACCCGCCUAGGUCACAACCGAACGGCACAGCCUCACGGGGGCGGCAGAGGCCGACCCAGCAACUCCGGAAAGAUGCAGACCACGGCCAAGGGGUCCAGAGGUGGCGGCAGCCCCACAGCAAGGGCGCGCCUGGUGCCCCGACCGAGGUACAAGGAACUGAGUAAAGGAACAGCGGGGAGGAGGAACGGUGGGGAGGAGGGCCAGCUCCUCCUCUCAGAAGACGCCAGUGACCAGGCGUGGAAGAAAGCGGGCGCAGAGUCACGCUGGGAAACAAGGCGAGUAGCCCUGCUGGCGGGGCCUGCCGACAGGCGCCAAGCAUGAGCAGGACGGGAUGUCCACACAGCCCUAUGGCGUCCUCGCCCCAAUAAACACCUGUCCGCUACAAAGAGAAAAGCACGACCUUCGCACGAGAAGCCCAGCAGACGCCACUGCGAGGACGACAGUUAACGUCACCCGCGAUAGGACGCGU